RNAcentral lists this ribosomal RNA (372 nucleotides) under uncultured organism. RNAcentral describes it as "bacterial SSU rRNA". It matches the Rfam family "Bacterial small subunit ribosomal RNA", at positions 526 to 896 of the family's 1533-position model. The record is from RNAcentral.
CAGAGGUCCCAAGCGUUGUUCGGGUUCACUGGGCGUAAAGGGUGCGUAGGUGGUUGGGCAAGUCUGAUGUGAAAUCUCCGGGCUCAACCCGGAAAUGGCAUUGGAUACUACCUGACUCGAGGAUUGGAGGGGGGACUGGAAUACUUGGUGUAGCAGUGAAAUGCGUAGAUAUCAGGAGGAACACCAACGGCGAAGGCAGCUAGCUGGACGAGAUCCGACGCUCAGGCUCGAAAGUAUGGGGAGCAAAAAGGAUUAGAUACCCUUGUAGUCCAUACUGUAAACGUUGUUGAUUAGGUCUUGGAGCAUUCGAACGCUCCAGGGCUCAAGCUAACGCAAUAAAUCAACCGCCUGAGGACUACGGCCGCAAGGCUA